Molecule: small RNA, 372 nt
Filed under: Apilactobacillus kunkeei
Lineage: Bacteria; Bacillati; Bacillota; Bacilli; Lactobacillales; Lactobacillaceae
Description: cspA
Rfam family: cspA thermoregulator
Source: RNAcentral
UAAGGUUACUUGUUUUAUAGUUUUAUGAAAUGACCCCUUGAUUCAGGCUUUUGAUACAUUAAGAUUUUAUAACGCACGAUAUGUGCAAGGAGGUUUCAUAUUAUGAAACAAGGUACUGUUAAAUGGUUCAACGCUGAUAAAGGUUACGGUUUUAUCACUACUGAAGACGGUGACGUAUUUGUUCACUUCUCAGCUAUCAACAAAGAAGGUUUCAAGACUCUAGAAGAAGGCGAAAAGGUUACAUUGGACGUUGAAGACGGCGACCGUGGACCACAAGCUGCUAACGUUACUCCUGCAUAAGGAUAACCUCUUAGUUAACUUUUAGUUUAAAAAGAGAUCAAAAACACCCGAGAUUUUCUCGGGUGUUUUUUA